UCUGGGGAUAUAGCUCAGUUGGUAGAGUGCUUGUCUUGCAUGUAUGAGGCCAUGGGUUCAAUCUCCAGCACAAAA
Molecule: transfer RNA, 75 nt
Filed under: Marmota monax (woodchuck)
Lineage: Eukaryota; Metazoa; Chordata; Mammalia; Rodentia; Sciuridae
Description: tRNA.Ala
Source: RNAcentral